This 332-nucleotide ribosomal RNA is filed under the name uncultured bacterium. RNAcentral's name for it is "bacterial SSU rRNA". It matches the Rfam family "Bacterial small subunit ribosomal RNA", at positions 568 to 898 of the family's 1533-position model. The record is from RNAcentral.
CGUGUAGGCGGUCGAUCAAGUCCGGUGUGAAAGCCCGGGGCUCAGCCCCGGAAGUGCACCGGAAACUAGCCGACUUGAGCGCGAUAGAGGAGGGUGGAAUUCCUGGUGUAGCGGUGAAAUGCGUAGAUAUCAGGAGGAACAUCGGCGGCGAAGGCGGCCCUCUGGCUCGUUGCUGACGCUGAGACGCGAAAGCGUGGGGAGCAAACAGGAUUAGAUACCCUGGUAGUCCACGCUGUAAACGAUGGGUACUAGGUGUUCGGGGUGUUGACCCCCUGAGUGCCGACGCUAACGCAUUAAGUACCCCGCCUGGGGACUACGGCCGCAAGGCUAAA